CGCCGGCUCUGUCCCUCGGCGGCGUCGGACGAACUGCGGCGCUGCACGUCAACCACGGCUCCAGCACUUGUUUCGUCCGCACGCAUUGUACCCACCGCAGGAAAGUCCGCCGCAAGCAGAUCCGCCGCCCACGACGACCGGGAUUUGUUCCGCGCACCAAUUGGUACGAAAUAGUCCUCAAUGUCUCGUCGUAGCGGGUACACCGGCGAGGGUGGGGAUUCGAUCAUGUCGUGGCCACGUUCUACUUCUCCUACCUCGUCGGAAGUGCAGUUAGCCAGGCAAGCCGAUGAUCCAUGGUACAUUGCAUACCAAGAUGAAUCAACCC
Molecule: non-coding RNA, 325 nt
Organism: Lolium perenne
Lineage: Eukaryota; Viridiplantae; Streptophyta; Magnoliopsida; Poales; Poaceae
Source: RefSeq, a predicted model, not a curated record